RNAcentral lists this ribosomal RNA (497 nucleotides) under uncultured bacterium. RNAcentral describes it as "partial 16S ribosomal RNA". It matches the Rfam family "Bacterial small subunit ribosomal RNA", at positions 28 to 507 of the family's 1533-position model. The record is from RNAcentral.
GAUGAACGCUGGCGGCGUGCCUAAUACAUGCAAGUCGAGCGAACAGACGAGGAGCUUGCUCCUCUGACGUUAGCGGCGGACGGGUGAGUAACACGUGGAUAACCUACCUAUAAGACUGGGAUAACUUCGGGAAACCGGAGCUAAUACCGGAUAAUAUAUUGAACCGCAUGGUUCAAUAGUGAAAGACGGUUUUGCUGUCACUUAUAGAUGGAUCCGCGCCGCAUUAGCUAGUUGGUAGGGUAACGGCUUACCAAGGCGACGAUGCGUAGCCGACCUGAGAGGGUGAUCGGCCACACUGGAACUGAGACACGGUCCAGACUCCUACGGGAGGCAGCAGUAGGGAAUCUUCCGCAAUGGGCGAAAGCAUGACGGAGCAACGCCGCGUGAGUGAUGAAGGUCUUCGGAUCGUAAAACUCUGUUAUUAGGGAAGAACAAAUGUGUAAGUAACUAUGCACGUCUUGACGGUACCUAAUCAGAAAGCCACGGCUAACUACGUG